This 2373-nucleotide unclassified non-coding RNA is filed under the name Hevea brasiliensis (rubber tree). The record is from RNAcentral. Lineage: Eukaryota; Viridiplantae; Streptophyta; Magnoliopsida; Malpighiales; Euphorbiaceae.
GGCACCUGUUCAUGCUUCAGCUAACUGGUAUCUGGACAAUGUCUUGCCUGUACUGCAGAGUUAUGGCAUAGCUGCAAUCUCCCCAUUCUCCCACCGUCUGACUUUUGAUAACUUGCCCAUGGAGAUCCAACGGUUACGUUGUAAAGUCAAUUUUCAAGCAUUAGUUUUUGUUCCCCACAUCAUAGCACUUGGAGAUGCUCUUGUCAGUCGCCUCAGAUAUCCUUCCAAAGGAGCUAAAGUCCUUAGCACUGAUUACCUAAGGGAAACCACUGAUGUGAUUGAUGAAAACAGAGCAAGGAAGUUUGUUGUGAUACACCUUCGUUUUGAUAAGGAUAUGGCUGCCCAUUCAGCCUGUGAUUUUGGUGGGGGCAAGGCUGAAAAAUUGGCUCUGGCCAAGUACCGACAAGUAAUUUGGCAGGGAAGGGUCCUUAACUCGCAGUUCACUGAUGAAGAAUUGAGGAGUCAGGGCCGUUGCCCAUUGACACCUGAAGAGAUUGGAUUACUUCUCGCAGCUUUGGGCUUUGACAACAGUACUCGUCUAUACCUUGCUUCUCACAAGGUGUAUGGUGGGAAAGCUAGGAUAUCAACUUUACGAAAAUUGUUUCCUCUAAUGGAAGACAAAAAGAGUCUUGCCUCUUCAGAAGAACGUACACAGAUUAAAGGAAAGGCUUCUCUGUUAGCUGCAGUUGAUUACUAUGUUGGCUUGCACAGUGACAUCUUCAUCUCUGCUUCUCCAGGAAAUAUGCACAAUGCAUUGGUGGGACAUCGAACUUACAAGAACAUGAAAACCAUAAGGCCUAACAUGGCAUUGUUGGGGCAACUGUUCCUGAACAAAAGCAUUAGUUGGCCAGACUUCCAACAAGCAGUUCUUGAAGGGCAUGAAAACAGGCAAGGCCAGAUCAGACUAAGAAAGCCAAAACAAUCCAUAUAUACGUAUCCUGCCCCUGAUUGUAUGUGCCAGGCUUAAGGUGAUGUAUCUGAAGGAUGUUGAGUUACCAUCUCCAUUCUAUUGAUUUGGCAGCACAACUAUUGUACGUGGCUGGUAUUAUAAAUAAACAAGAAAUUCCAUUUCUUCUUUGAUGGAAAAGAGCAGAGAUAGCAAUUUAGCAAGAGAAGAUGGGGUGGGGAGUGAUUUAGAUGAUGAUUGUGUAUUUGUCACUUCGUUUCUGGACCAGGAAAAUAUUUAUUUGUGAUUCAAUAGGUUACAGCUGUAUUUGUACCACUUUUGUUUCUGAAACCUUUGACUUUAUGUAGUCAAGGCGAGCCAGUACCUGUUUCGGGUUGUAGGACCUUAAAUUGGAUCUCAUGGUUUGGCUGAUGUUUGUUAGAGUGAUAAAUUUGAAUGCUCUAUGGGGCAUUUAACGUGAUUGUCUAGCGCAAAUGCAUCUGCCAGUGCUUAGGAUGAAGUGAAGAAUAAUAGAGAAGUAAGAACAGGCUUUCCAAACUGGGUAACAUCUGGCCAUCAACUGACCAAAAUACCAAUAAAAUCAUUCAAAGCUUAGAAAAUGGUAGAUUUCUAGUUGCUUUAUCGACAGUGUGAGGUGAACCAUAGUAUGAUUGCAUUGCACUAAUCAUGGAAUACACUAAGCUUGUAUGAAAGAGCUUAAAAGUGGAGGUUCAAUGCAAGAAGAUAGCAGUUCACGUUGUAAUACAGCCGCGACAGUCUACUUUGAGAAAAUUGUCAGCAAUACAUCAUGUUAAGGGUACCUAUGUAUAGCCGGCAUCCCUGGUAUUCAAAAUACAAUAAUGCCCAGAAAUAUUGUACUGUGAAAUACAUCAUAAUAAGCGCCUAACAUCCCCUCCAUUUUGGGCUUUUAAGUAUCCAUUAACAUGAGCCGCUCUAGGUGUGAAUGUGAGUAUAUCGGCAAAGAUCAAUUCAUAUAAUUUUCACUGGUCGGCGGAUGUAGAACUAGGCGGGGAUGGACUUUGAUCAUCUUUCCCAUCCUUCUCACCAGUUGGAGAUAUACAGUUCCAUUUCUGCCCGCAGCAGCCAUUUCCAUUGCCUCUUCUGGAGUUGAAUGGGAUGGGAAUGGUUCUCUUUGAGCCCUGCAAAGCAACACCGAGAAGAAGAUUUUCCUCUAAUGCAGGUCAUGAAACUGACGGCUGAGUGAUUGAUUCUCUCAGCUCCCUGUUUCAAUUGGGAAGAUUGCUGCACUCCACUUGCUUUGUCAGUACCAGCUUCUGUUAAAGAAACUGAAGGAUUAUCAAACUGGCUCUUGUAGUCCCAGGACUCAGAGUCUCAGGCUGCUUGCUGUCAGACAUCUUUUUGUUUUGUACACGUUAUUGGAAACUGAGCCUGCUGCUUUGGAUUCAGAAUUUGAUGCUUCUGCAAAGUUUGGCAUCUUGGGAACAGAAUUAGGUGAUGAUUUCACU